Molecule: ribosomal RNA, 253 nt
Filed under: uncultured bacterium
Lineage: Bacteria
Description: partial 16S ribosomal RNA
Rfam family: Bacterial small subunit ribosomal RNA
Source: RNAcentral
GACAGAGGGUGCAAACGUUGUUCGGAAUUACUGGGCGUAAAGGGCGCGUAGGCGGCCUUGUAAGUCCUGUGUGAAAUCCCCCGGCUCAACUGGGGAACUGCACAGGAGACUGCUUGGCUUGAGUUCGGGAGAGGGAAGCGGAAUUCCGGGUGUAGCGGUGAAAUGCGUAGAUAUCAGGAGGAACACCGAUGGCGAAGGCAGGUCUCUGGGCCGAUACUGACGCUGAGGAGCGAAAGCGUGGGGAGCGAACAGG